UUUGAAGGAUUUUAAAUAGGUAAUUGUUGGUAAGAACACAGAUCCUGUGUCACUGCAGUUACUCGUCUACUGAGUGGAGACGCAUAAAGCAAGGAGGUCACAGAGUAUGAAACCCACUGGAACAAAUGACUCCGACUCCCAGCCAGAGGAACUCAAAAGGUCUCUGCUUUCAGCAGCAGGUUCUGCUGCCAGCUUCUGUCUCCACAUCUCCUAAAUCAAGGUAGGCUUCUGCACUGCCAAAAGCACUGGACAAAAAGCAGAAUGA
This 265-nucleotide long non-coding RNA is filed under the name Bos indicus x Bos taurus (hybrid cattle). Its description in RNAcentral is "lncRNA (ENSBIXG00000017264.1)". Lineage: Eukaryota; Metazoa; Chordata; Mammalia; Artiodactyla; Bovidae. The record is from RNAcentral.